This 74-nucleotide transfer RNA is filed under the name bacterium. RNAcentral's name for it is "tRNA-Gln". It matches the Rfam family "tRNA". From Rfam's summary of the family: Transfer RNA (tRNA) molecules are approximately 80 nucleotides in length. Their secondary structure includes four short double-helical elements and three loops (D, anti-codon, and T loops). Further hydrogen bonds mediate the characteristic L-shaped molecular structure. tRNAs have two regions of fundamental functional importance: the anti-codon, which is responsible for specific mRNA codon recognition, and the 3' end, to which the tRNAs corresponding amino acid is attached (by aminoacyl-tRNA synthetases). tRNAs cope with the degeneracy of the genetic code in two manners: having more than one tRNA (with a specific anti-codon) for a particular amino acid; and 'wobble' base-pairing, i.e. permitting non-standard base-pairing at the 3rd anti-codon position. The record is from RNAcentral.
UGGGAGAUCGUCUAACGGCAGGACAGUGGCCUUUGAAGCCAUUAAUCUUGGUUCGAUUCCACGUCUCCCAGCCA